CAGUAGCCGCGGGAAUACGAAGGGUGCAAGCGUUACUCGGAAUUACUGGGCGUAAAGCGUGCGUAGGUGGUUGUUUAAGUCUGCUGUGAAAGCCCUGGGCUCAACCUGGGAAUUGCAGUGGAUACUGGGCAACUAGAGUAAGGUAGAGGAUAGUGGAAUUUCCGGUGUAGCAGUGAAAUGCGUAGAGAUCGGAAGGAACAUCUGUGGCGAAGGCGACUAUCUGGGCCAACACUGACACUGAGGCACGAAAGCGUGGGGAGCAAACAGGAUUAGAUACCCGAGUAGUCCCUGUCUCUUAUAC
RNAcentral lists this ribosomal RNA (301 nucleotides) under uncultured bacterium. Its description in RNAcentral is "partial 16S ribosomal RNA". It matches the Rfam family "Bacterial small subunit ribosomal RNA", at positions 509 to 807 of the family's 1533-position model. The record is from RNAcentral.